GCGUCACCCCCUGGAGAGAGCCGCGCCCCGAGCGCGGCCACCGAAGGAGCAAACGCUCAAGGCCGUUGUGGCAGGCGUGAAUCUCUCAGGUAAAGCGGACAGGUGGGCAGUA
Molecule: non-coding RNA, 112 nt
Filed under: Burkholderiales bacterium
Lineage: Bacteria; Pseudomonadati; Pseudomonadota; Betaproteobacteria; Burkholderiales
Description: Glycine sequence
Rfam family: Glycine riboswitch aptamer
About the family: This family represents the bacterial glycine riboswitch. Glycine riboswitches usually consist of two metabolite-binding aptamers domains with similar structures in tandem.
Source: RNAcentral